Long non-coding RNA from Alligator mississippiensis (American alligator), 1681 nucleotides. RefSeq lists it as uncharacterized. The transcript has 4 exons. The record is from RefSeq and is a predicted model, not a curated record. Lineage: Eukaryota; Metazoa; Chordata; Crocodylia; Alligatoridae.
UAGGAGAGUGUGAAGAGAAUGUCUGGUACAGGGGCAGGGACCAUUGAAGGAGAAAGGCCAAUGCAGGAUGGUGCUAGGAAGGAAGCCAUUGCAAGGGGGAAGCCCUCACAGCCAGCGAGGAUACUAAGUUCAGCAUCUUUCUACCACUCUAACAAAGGCAUCCUCCUGCUCCAGGUUGAAACUGAAACCACGUGGGCCUGCAUCAUCCUGGCAUCUCUCUGGAGACCACACAGCUGGAGGGAAGGCGUCGCAGGAGGCGGUCAAUGCAGAAGGAUGGAAGACAGUCACCUCCAGAUCUAGACGUCGCAGAACUAGAUGUUGCACUACUAGAACAACUCCCCUAGUGCAGCUGGGAAACUGGUAUGAUGCCUUAGCACCACUGGGAGACAGUAAAGCAAUGGAGGCCAUGUCCACAGCUACCACCAGACAGGCUGAGAGUCAACCGGGCAGCCAGAGGAGAAGACGUCUAGUCAUCAUGGUGGGUGACUCCCUCCUAAGAGGAAUGGAGGGAGCAAUCUGCUGCCUGGAUCCUGCAGUACAGGACAUGUGCUGCCUGCCCAAAGCUAGGAUUCAGGACAUCACAGCAAGGCUUCCAGACCUAAUCAGGCCCACUGACUACUACCCCAUGGUCCUCAUCCAUAUUGAAAUGAAUGAUGCGGCCCGGAGUAGUCUGGGACAGGUCAUGAUUGACUGCAUGACUCUGGGAGACAGGCUUAGAGGCUCAGGGACACAAGUAGUCUUCUCAUCGGUCCUUCUGGUCAGCUGCCACAGCCAGCACCACGGCAACGGCACUGAGGAGGUAAACUCACGGCUUCAGAGCUGGUGCCGCCACGCGGGGUUUGGCUUUCUAGACGAUGAUCCGUACUUCUAGGAUAAGACCUUGCUGGGACAGGAUGGCCUACAUCUCUCUCCAAAAGGGUAACAGCAAUGGGGCAAGAUUGUAAGUGGCUCUAAAGCAAACAGAUUAGCAUAAGAUAAGGCAUAAAGGAAGGUGCAUGUCAAGUGACCAGUUAGAAGGAUGGGACAGAAGGCCCAUCACUGUACCAAGUCUGGACCCUGGACUCCCAGUGUGAGUGAGAACCAGAUUCUGACCAAGAAAUCUUCCCAAUGACCCCUUGGACAGCAUUGAUUGGGGACGCCUGACUUCGCUGGAACAACUUGGCGCGCACCUGGCAUAGAAGGACUGACGAUAAGUGGCCAACCCCAUGUGGGAACUCUUUGUCAUUCAGUCUAUCUGUUGUUAUCAUUCACUAUUAGCUCUUUAUUACUGUACUAUCUGUUUGUCACAUUAACCUUUCUGUUAACUGUAUGCUAAGCUAUAAGUAAAUUUGCCUUUACUUCACUCCCAACUCACCUCCUUGAUCCUGAACCCAGCAGCCUAACAGCUGAUACACUCACAGCACCUAGCCGGCCUGUGACAGGUUUACAGCAGGCAGAUCCUGCCUGACUAACCUGGUCUCUUUUUAUGACCAGGUCACAAAGUGCUUAGAUGCAGGAGUGGAAGUAGAUAUUAUUUACCUGGUUUUUAAAAAGGCUUUUGACACUGUCGCACCCAAUUCUUAUGAGCAAACUAAGUAGCUGUGAUGUGGAUUUUUCCACAGUAAGGUGGGUGAAAAACUGGCUUAUGGGAUACACCCAGAGAGUGGUGGUGGAUGGGUCAGUUUCUCCCUGGAGGGAUGUG